GCCCUAGUAACGGCGAGUGAAGCGGCAACAGCUCAAAUUUGAAAUCUGGCGCAAGCCCGAGUUGUAAUUUGUAGAGGAUGUUUCUGGCGACGUACCUUCCGAGUUCCCUGGAACGGGACGCCAUAGAGGGUGAGAGCCCCGUACGGUUGGUUGCCUAGCCUCUGUGAAACUCCUUCGACGAGUCGAGUAGUUUGGGAAUGCUGCUCUAAAUGGGAGGUAUACGUCUUCUAAAGCUAAAUACCGGCCAGAGACCGAUAGCGCACAAGUAGAGUGAUCGAAAGAUGAAAAGCACUUUGAAAAGAGGGUUAAAUAGUACGUGAAAUUGUUGAAAGGGAAGCGUUUAUGACCAGACUUGGGCAGGUUGAUCAUCCGUGGUUCUCCGCGGUGCACUCUGCCUGCCCAGGCCAGCAUCAGUUCAGUUCGGGGGAUAAAGGCUUCGGGAAUGUAGCUCCCUCGGGAGUGUUAUAGACCGUUGCGUAAUACCCUGAUCUGGACUGAGGUUCGCGCUCUGCAAGGAUGCUGGCGUAAUGGUCAUCAGCGACCCGUCUUGAAACACGGACCAAGGAGUCGUCUUCGUAUGCGAGUGUUCGGGUGUCAAACCCCUACGCGUAAUGAAAGUGAACGU
RNAcentral lists this ribosomal RNA (625 nucleotides) under Clonostachys candelabrum. RNAcentral describes it as "partial large subunit ribosomal RNA". It matches the Rfam family "Eukaryotic large subunit ribosomal RNA", at positions 77 to 732 of the family's 3401-position model. Lineage: Eukaryota; Fungi; Ascomycota; Sordariomycetes; Hypocreales; Bionectriaceae. The record is from RNAcentral.